Poronia punctata is the source of this 125-nucleotide non-coding RNA. The record is from the annotation of a GenBank genome assembly. NCBI's taxonomy places the organism in Eukaryota, Fungi, Ascomycota, Sordariomycetes, Xylariales, Xylariaceae.
UCUUGAUUGGUCUAGUGGUCAGGAUACCUGCUUGUCACUGGUCCCGUUCUCUCUCUCCUUAUAUCAAGGAAAGAACGAAAACAAGCUGCUCGCAGGUGGCCGGGGUUCGAUUCCCCGAUCGAGAG